Molecule: long non-coding RNA, 712 nt
Filed under: Piliocolobus tephrosceles (Ugandan red Colobus)
Lineage: Eukaryota; Metazoa; Chordata; Mammalia; Primates; Cercopithecidae
Description: lncRNA (ENSPTEG00000037367.1)
Source: RNAcentral
CCCCUUUCCGAAGACUCGGCUCCUAUUGGCCCAGGGGCCGGGGUUGAAACGCCCUAAUAGCCGGACCGGGGUGAUCAUGUGACUUGCGGGGGUGGGGCUGCGCCGGCCUCUUCCCAGCCAGCUUGAAAGGGUUUGCGUAACCGGCCUUGCGGGCCCUUAACGCGCUCCGUUAAAGCGCUCUGUGGGCGGCCUGGCCUCAACUCCCUUAGUCUAGGAGCACGAAGGGAUUUACUCCUAGCUCUCGUCCGUCCCGGGUUCGCUUUUCUUUCCUUCCCGAUGCCUGGCUUUUAGAUCCACUACCGCAGAGUCUGCGGCUGCCAGGAAGCCCAGAUUCGAGUGUCCGGAGAGUAACCGGAAGUGCUAUCCCCAGGCCUAGGGGCGGCGCCGGCGGCUGCAGGGAGAGGGAAGAAUUGAGUGUUGUGAAUAGUACUGGACUAGAGACCUUUUGAAACCAAAAGGAAGAUGUUCUUGAGUCUUUCUUGUUAUGAAUGCUAUCUUCCUUGAGAAGUCAAAUUCUCAGGAUCAGGAAUGUAUGUUUUCUUCCGUCUGGAUUCUAGGCUUGGAAAUACCAAGUAAGGAAUUAACAUAUAUGAUGCUGGAAACUUGUAGAGGCUCAUGACUGAAAGGCCUGAAACAGAUGUAUCUUCCAAGUUUUUAUCAAGAAAAUGACUGUGAGGGCAAUGAUGGGUCAAGAAGACCAGUGGAAAACUCC